RNAcentral lists this ribosomal RNA (520 nucleotides) under uncultured Archaeosporaceae. RNAcentral describes it as "SSU rRNA". It matches the Rfam family "Eukaryotic small subunit ribosomal RNA", at positions 569 to 1094 of the family's 1831-position model. Lineage: Eukaryota; Fungi; Glomeromycota; Glomeromycetes; Archaeosporales; Archaeosporaceae. The record is from RNAcentral.
AGCAGCCGCGGUAAUUCCAGCUCCAAUAGCGUAUAUUAAAGUUGUUGCAGUUAAAAAGCUCGUAGUUGAAUUUUAGGCCUGGCCGGGCGGUCCGUCUUUGGCGAGUACUGUUCUGUGUCGGGUCUUACCUUCUGGUGAAACCGGCAUUUUCUGAAGCGAUUGUGCCGGGGAGCCACGGACCAUUACCUUGAAAAAUUAGAGUGUUUAAAGCAGGCAUUUUGCUUGAAUAGAUUAGCAUGGAAUAAUAAAAUAGGACGUUGGUUCUAUUUUGUUGGUCUAGGACCACCGUAAUGAUUAAUAGGGAUAGUUGGGGGCAUUAGUAUUCAAUUGUCAGAGGUGAAAUUCUUGGAUUUAUUGAAGACUAACUAUUGCGAAAGCAUUUGCCAAGGAUGUUUUCAUUAAUCAAGAACGAAAGUUAGGGGAUCGAAGACGAUCAGAUACCGUCGUAGUCUUAACCAUAAACUAUGCCGACUAGGAAUCGGGCGACGUUAUUUUCAUGACUCGCUCGGCGCCUUAUGGG